CGGUAGGUAACCUGCCCAAGAGACUGGGAUAACACCUGGAAACAGAUGCUAAUACCGGAUAACAACACUAGACGCAUGUCUAGAGUUUAAAAGAUGGUUCUGCUAUCACUCUUGGAUGGACCUGCGGUGCAUUAGCUAGUUGGUAAGGUAACGGCUUACCAAGGCAAUGAUGCAUAGCCGAGUUGAGAGACUGAUCGGCCACAUUGGGACUGAGACACGGCCCAAACUCCUACGGAAGGCAGCAG
RNAcentral lists this ribosomal RNA (245 nucleotides) under uncultured bacterium. RNAcentral's name for it is "partial 16S ribosomal RNA". It matches the Rfam family "Bacterial small subunit ribosomal RNA", at positions 115 to 354 of the family's 1533-position model. The record is from RNAcentral.